CUCACUUGUCCUAUUUAUUUUGUCUAUUCAUAGUCCUAUUUACUUUUUCCAGGCACUCAAGAGAAGUUUCUAAAUUGGAAACCUAUGCAGAAAAAUAUCUAUUUUUUACUGGCUGUCUCACCUUAUAUUAUUAAUAAAGAACUCUACAGUGUGACUUCCACAAGAAAAAGCAGAAAGAAUAUUACUGAAUAGAAAACUUUCUCCUAUCAACAACAGGACCUUCCAUUCACCUUUACUGCAAAGAAAAUCAGAAAUAUAUCCUGGGAGCUAUGAGGAAUAAUAAAUGAAUGAAUACAUUCUGCAAGGAGCAGCAACAGAAAAGGUUGGACCGAAGGACCAUCAAAGGGACACUUGCCACUAACAUGAACACGGAUGUACAGAAAAUGUGCUGCCUAACUUUUUGGCUUUUGGCAACCAUGUGAAGCAAUGAGCCAGUGUCUUCAUUUCAAAGAGAACAAGAGAAACUGAGUACUUAGUUAAUGAGAGUUGGAUACCAGCUAACAGUGAAAAAACCUAAGGCCCUUAAACCUUUUUGCAGAACAAAGAUUUUUCAAACCUGGCAGAACUGACUAUUGUAUUGAUCCUGGUAUUACAAACAAGCCUCACACAAACCAAGAAAGAUUUAAAGUAAAUACAUUUGGGACUGAAGGAAGGCUCAUAGAAUUAGAAUUAGAAGAGACUUCUGCAGUCACCAAGUCCUGUUCACUCCUGUUACAGAUGAAGAAACUAAGUCUUAUAGAACUUUAAGGACUUGCCCAAG
This 760-nucleotide long non-coding RNA is filed under the name Phascolarctos cinereus (koala). RNAcentral's name for it is "lncRNA (ENSPCIG00000036913.1)". The record is from RNAcentral. Lineage: Eukaryota; Metazoa; Chordata; Mammalia; Diprotodontia; Phascolarctidae.